UGCAGAAAUGAGAAAAUGCAGCCAUUAGGGAUAUCUGGUAUUAAACCUUCAAAGGAAUGUAAAUAUUUAAUUUUUUUUUAAUUAUUUUUGUAUAAUGCAUUAGCUUGCAAUGAAUGUGGCACGUAAUGCAUGUAAAAGUACUCCUUGGUCAGCAAGGGAGGCAGCGCAAUGCCAAACAUUAAACCUUACGUGAAAAGCAUAUUUAUACUGAGCUGACUGAUGAGAUGACAGCAUGUUUAUAUUGUUCUAAAUAUAAAGCACUGUGUACUUUUAUUUACAGGCUUUUUUUGGGAAAGUCAUUCCAUUUAACAGCCUUGAAUUUUGGUCAACUAAAUGGACGUGCCACGAAUGGACUGCAUGAGUGAGAUUACAAGACCAAGUAAAUACGUCUGAAGCAGAGUGCUGUGCAUGGAAUUGGGACAGGAACACUUCGCUGUUUGGUGUCACUUGAGACCUGGAUCUCAUCUGCGGCUGUGGCAGAGCGACAGGAAAACAAAGAGAGAAUUCUGGCUGGCUGGGCUGGUGUGAAGAUCCCUGCCGUGGGGCUGAGCUGAAGGUGUGCAAGGAGAAGGGAGCAGGAGCAGAGUGAGAAGCCAGCUGUGAACAGCACUGCUCUCUUCUGCCGCUGAACGAGCUCUUCUAGAAAAUGUCAAAGAACAUCCUCAUCAUCCAAAACCAUUUUUAAAAUGAUUGCUAAUAUGGCUCAAUUAUGCUUUCUUUCCCUGCACCCAUGUGUUUAAAUGUGAAAGAAAAUGGUGAGAGUGACUGCUAAAGAUGCCUGAUAGUGCAUAUUUGCUUGGAAGUAUAUUUUCAUAUCAAGCAAAUGUCAGUGCAAACACCUGCAAUCUGCAUUGCUUGUAACUGUAAGAAACAAAUGCAAGUUGGUUCACCACCACCAUUCUGAAUAAAGCUCCUGCUGCUCUGUG
Vidua macroura (Pin-tailed whydah) is the source of this 926-nucleotide long non-coding RNA. RefSeq lists it as uncharacterized. The record is from RefSeq and is a predicted model, not a curated record. The transcript is spliced from 2 exons. Lineage: Eukaryota; Metazoa; Chordata; Aves; Passeriformes; Viduidae.